Molecule: ribosomal RNA, 253 nt
Filed under: uncultured bacterium
Lineage: Bacteria
Description: partial 16S ribosomal RNA
Rfam family: Bacterial small subunit ribosomal RNA
Source: RNAcentral
UACGAAGGGGGCUAGCGUUGUUCGGAUUUACUGGGCGUAAAGCGCACGUAGGCGGGUCGUUAAGUCGAGGGUGAAAUCCUGGAGCUCAACUCCAGAACUGCCUUCGAUACUGGCGACCUAGAGUCCGGAAGAGGUGAGUGGAACUCCUAGUGUAGAGGUGGAAUUCGUAGAUAUUAGGAAGAACACCAGUGGCGAAGGCGGCUCACUGGUCCGGUACUGACGCUGAGGUGCGAAAGCGUGGGGAGCAAACAGG